GUCAUCAUGGCCCUUACGACCAGGGCUACACACGUGCUACUAUGGCGCAUACAAAGAGAAGCGACCUCGCGAGAGCAAGCGGACCUCAUAAAGUGCGUCGUAGUCCGGAUUGGAGUCUGCAACUCGACUCCAUGAAGUCGGAAUCGCUAGUAAUCGUGGAUCAGAAUGCCACGGUGAAUACGUUCCCGGGCUUUGUACACACCGCCCGUCACACCAUGGGAGUGGGUUGC
This 230-nucleotide ribosomal RNA is filed under the name uncultured Gammaproteobacteria bacterium. Its description in RNAcentral is "partial 16S ribosomal RNA". It matches the Rfam family "Bacterial small subunit ribosomal RNA", at positions 1189 to 1418 of the family's 1533-position model. The record is from RNAcentral. Lineage: Bacteria; Pseudomonadati; Pseudomonadota; Gammaproteobacteria.